ACCUAAUCAAACAUGCAAAACAACAACAGCAGCUUGCUUAUUAGCGCCUGCUUGUAGCAAAGCUAGGCGGACGGACGGAGGAGAACAUGCAUAUGGAAGAAGGAUCCAUCGGCUGCUGUGGCCAUGGUGGAAUUGGAUGAGUUUAGUGGAUCUUGCACCCGCAGUUUUCGGGGAGGAAGUCGCGGCACCUGUACUUGGUGGCGCCCUUGCCCGUGGACACGGGGACGCAGUUCUUGCAGGUGGCGGCGCACUUGGUGAGGAGGUCGUCGCAGGUCCACACGCCCGACCAGCUGGUGCACUCGCCGCACCAGCACUGCUUCUUCGGCCCUGCGCGGCAGCAGCAUGAUGCGUACUCGCUUUAUUUCGUCCAAUCAAGCUAGUAGCCAACUAGAUGAAAUCUCGGCAAGCACGACGUACCUGCAGGUCCUUUGGCCACAGCCGCAGAGAGCAGAAGGGCCUGGAGAACUAGGAUCACCAACAGAGUGCUGCUCCUGCUCUUCAUCCUCUACGUACGUACCGCUUGUUGCCGCCGACGACUCUAGUUUUAGUUUUAGGGUGUAAACAAGAAGGCAAGCUUCGAGUUUGUCACUGCUAGUGCUGCUGAGAUGCACAUGUGCUGCUUCACUAGACGAACUCGGUACUCUCUAUAUAGGCCG
This 656-nucleotide unclassified non-coding RNA is filed under the name Zea mays. RNAcentral's name for it is "misc RNA Zm00001eb125570". The record is from RNAcentral. Lineage: Eukaryota; Viridiplantae; Streptophyta; Magnoliopsida; Poales; Poaceae.